Scylla paramamosain (green mud crab) is the source of this 1191-nucleotide long non-coding RNA. RefSeq lists it as uncharacterized. Lineage: Eukaryota; Metazoa; Arthropoda; Malacostraca; Decapoda; Portunidae. The transcript is spliced from 4 exons. The record is from RefSeq and is a predicted model, not a curated record.
UUCUCAUGUUACCAUCCGCACGGCAUACCCGUGAUUGAUAACUGACCCGCAGGUUAUCCAGCGUUUGCCAUCUCCCUCGCCUCCAGGCAUCUCGAGAUAUGUCUGCACAACCCGACUGAGUUCCAUGACUCGCCUGUCCCACUUGGCAGUCGCGACUAGUGUCAUGCAACCCUCCUCUCGAGGAACCAGAGACCACACACCAGCGUGGCGAGGUACGCGUGACGGAGCGAGCAAGUGAGUCAGAAGCUGAGGACCAGAGUACUGCGUCUGUGGCUUGUGGAUGAAUGCCUCUAUCGGUGUACUACUCCGAGUGAUUCAUUCACCUUGACAAAUGCAGAAAACAAGCUGCAUGGCAUCAUUAGCUGCUCAAUUUGCCCAGCUGGCAGCAGAAUUGGACAGCAUACUGGGGGAAAUUUGCCCUGUGUGACACUGCCUUAAGUGUUAUGGAAUACUGUGACGGCCAAAACCGUACCAAAAAUUAAAUGACCAGCCAAUAUCAAAUGCACCAACUUCUCCAAAACACCAGAAAAAACAUAGGCAAGAGAUAUGAGUUUGCAGUGUUGUUGUAAAACAUGUGCUGUAGUUGACUGCACAAACAUAUCACAAAAGAAGAACCAAGGUGUGAAAGGAUGGGUUGUACUUCCAAAAAAAGGAAGCAGCAACUCAGGGAACACAUUAGGAGACAUGUUGUAAAUAGAUAAGCAGCAACUCAGAAAAGACGUUGGGAGACACAAUGUAAACAAUCUUUGCCAGUGUUUGGAUUAGAUCUGGCAUCAAAACACGGUUGUUUCUUCUAUAUGUGCCAGCAUUUAUUAAGUUUAUAUUAAUUGUAUAACUGAAAUAAAAUAAACUUAUAUUGAGAAGAUAAAAUAGCAUUCAUCCCUAGAUGAUGAUAUACCCCAAAUCUCAAAUAAUAUAUAAUGUGUAUAGUAUUUAGCUCGUUUUGACAUAUUUCUUGCUCUCUAUUUCAUAAUGGUGGCUAAAAAUGUUACUAAUAUUUUAUUAGUUGGUUUGAUACCAUACAAAUGACCAACUAUUUUUUCAGCAUACCAAGUUUGUGUAAAAUUAAGUCAGCUGGUGAAUCUGGCAGUUCUUUCAGACCAUUUUGAAUGCCCCAUUUAUGAUUCUGUCAACCUUCUUUUGUGUGAAAUAUUUCUUUAAUAAUGCUUUUAUGAUAAUUUCAAGUAAAUA